UAGCUUCACACUCUCAUUUCAUCUCAUUCCAAACUCGUUUGGUAACCCGUUUUGCCAAAAUCGCAACACAGACCAAGAAUAAUACAUUGUGCGAAAAACCAACUUUGAGAGCAAAUUCCUAUCAAACCACAAUGAAUCAGAGGAAUAUAUUUAUAUCCUUAGAAAGAUCUCAUUUCCAAGAUUCCAGAAAAUCUUUCAAUGCUCAAAUCAGACUUCUAUAGCCAAGUCAAACGAAGGUGACAAAGUCAGACAAACACCACUUCACCAAACAGCAGCUUCUUUAAGUCUGCUCAAAAAUUAUGUUUGUCGAUAAACUUCAUAGGCCAAUAACAUUUAGCCACGUAUGGGUCCCUUAAAUAUCAAAAAAUCCCUUUCAUAAAGAGCGUCCUUAUCUAUUUUGGUAUUUUUCAUUUAAUUUUGGGCCUCUGGAAGAGUCUGCCACACAAAAAAAACCCAUAAAGACUUGCCGUUACAACUGCUCUAACCGGCACUCGCCGUCAACGUAUUAAAAACAUACACAAAGACUACGUCAACGACUACGGUAACAAAACAAACAAUAAUCUACGGUAGUGUUUGUUGCUGCCGCUGCCGCUGCGACGAAACGAACAAACUAGUU
RNAcentral lists this small RNA (616 nucleotides) under Arabidopsis thaliana (thale cress). RNAcentral's name for it is "ATSL098630". Lineage: Eukaryota; Viridiplantae; Streptophyta; Magnoliopsida; Brassicales; Brassicaceae. The record is from RNAcentral.